This 253-nucleotide ribosomal RNA is filed under the name uncultured bacterium. RNAcentral's name for it is "partial 16S ribosomal RNA". It matches the Rfam family "Bacterial small subunit ribosomal RNA", at positions 524 to 776 of the family's 1533-position model. The record is from RNAcentral.
UACGUAGGGGGCUAGCGUUGUCCGGAAUCAUUGGGCGUAAAGAGCGUGUAGGCGGCCCGAUAAGUCCGCUGUGAAAGUCCAGGGCUCAACCCUGGGAUGCCGGUGGAUACUGUCGGGCUCGAGUCCGGAAGAGGAGUGUGGAAUUCCUGGUGUAGCGGUGAAAUGCGCAGAUAUCAGGUGGAACACCAAUGGCGAAGGCAGCACUCUGGGACGUGACUGACGCUGAGACGCGAAAGCGUGGGGAGCAAACAGG